This 458-nucleotide ribosomal RNA is filed under the name uncultured bacterium. RNAcentral describes it as "partial 16S ribosomal RNA". It matches the Rfam family "Bacterial small subunit ribosomal RNA", at positions 338 to 795 of the family's 1533-position model. The record is from RNAcentral.
CCUACGGGAGGCAGCAGUGAGGAAUAUUGGUCAAUGGCCGGAAGGCUGAACCAGCCAUGCCGCGUGAAGGUCAGUGCCCUAUGGGCGUUAAACUUCUUUUGUGCGGGAGCAAUAAUGGUCACGUGUGGCCAGACGAGAGUACCGUACGAAAAAGCAUCGGCUAACUCCGUGCCAGCAGCCGCGGUAAUACGGAGGAUGCGAGCGUUAUCCGGAUUUAUUGGGUUUAAAGGGUGCGCAGGCGGAUUGUUAAGUCAGCGGUCAAAUCGUGGGGCUAAACCCCAUCCAGCCGUUGAAACUGGGGAUCUAGAGUGUGCGAGAGGUAUGCGGAAUGCGUGGUGUAGCGGUGAAAUGCAUAGAUAUCACGCAGAACUCCGAUUGCGAAGGCAGCUUACUAGGCCAUAACUGACGCUGAAGCACGAAAGCGUGGGGAUCAAACAGGAUUAGAUACCCUUGUAGUC